Molecule: microRNA, 22 nt
Filed under: Monodelphis domestica (gray short-tailed opossum)
Lineage: Eukaryota; Metazoa; Chordata; Mammalia; Didelphimorphia; Didelphidae
Description: mdo-miR-12353-5p
Source: miRBase by way of RNAcentral
AGCCUGGAGUCAAGAAAAUCUG